UACAGAGACUGCAAGCGUUAUUCGGAUUCACUGGGCGUAAAGCGUGCGCAGGCGGUUUGCUAAGACAGGUGUGAAAUCCCCGGGCUUAACCUGGGAACUGCGCUUGUAACUGGCAAGCUGGAGUGUGGCAGAGGGGGGUGGAAUUCCACGUGUAGCAGUGAAAUGCGUAGAGAUGUGGAGGAACACCGAUGGCGAAGGCAGCCCCCUGGGCUAACACUGACGCUCAUGCACGAAAGCGUGGGGAGCAAACAGG
Molecule: ribosomal RNA, 253 nt
Filed under: uncultured bacterium
Lineage: Bacteria
Description: partial 16S ribosomal RNA
Rfam family: Bacterial small subunit ribosomal RNA
Source: RNAcentral